This is a small nuclear RNA of Marmota flaviventris (yellow-bellied marmot), 106 nucleotides long. The record is from RefSeq and is a predicted model, not a curated record. Lineage: Eukaryota; Metazoa; Chordata; Mammalia; Rodentia; Sciuridae.
GUGUUUGCUUCAGCAGCACAUACACUAAAAUUGGAAUCUUCAGAGAAGAUUAGCAUGGCCCCUGCUCAAUGAUGACAUGCAAAUUCAUGAAGCAUUCUAUAUUUUU